UAGAAUGUGGUGUAAUAUUGGUAGCACGAAGAUUUUUGGACUCUUAGGAUUAGGUUCGAUUCCUAUAAUUCUAG
Molecule: transfer RNA, 74 nt
Filed under: Panthera leo atrox (American cave lion)
Lineage: Eukaryota; Metazoa; Chordata; Mammalia; Carnivora; Felidae
Description: tRNA-Gln
Rfam family: tRNA
About the family: Transfer RNA (tRNA) molecules are approximately 80 nucleotides in length. Their secondary structure includes four short double-helical elements and three loops (D, anti-codon, and T loops). Further hydrogen bonds mediate the characteristic L-shaped molecular structure. tRNAs have two regions of fundamental functional importance: the anti-codon, which is responsible for specific mRNA codon recognition, and the 3' end, to which the tRNAs corresponding amino acid is attached (by aminoacyl-tRNA synthetases). tRNAs cope with the degeneracy of the genetic code in two manners: having more than one tRNA (with a specific anti-codon) for a particular amino acid; and 'wobble' base-pairing, i.e. permitting non-standard base-pairing at the 3rd anti-codon position.
Source: RNAcentral